This 481-nucleotide ribosomal RNA is filed under the name uncultured bacterium. RNAcentral describes it as "SSU rRNA". It matches the Rfam family "Bacterial small subunit ribosomal RNA", at positions 26 to 518 of the family's 1533-position model. The record is from RNAcentral.
AGGACGAACGCUGGCGGCGCGCUUAACACAUGCAAGUCGAGCGAGAACCAGGCCUUCGGGCCUGGGGAAAGCGGCGAACGGGUGAGUAACACGUGGGUAACCCACCCUUGGUACCGGGAUAGCCCGAGGAAACUCGGAUUAAUACCGGAUGGCCCAACAGCUCUUCGGGGCGGUUGGAAAAGGUAGCUUCGGCCUCCGACCAAGGACGGGCCCGCGGCGGAUUAGCUUGUUGGUGAGGUAACGGCUCACCAAGGCGACGAUCCGUAGCUGGUCUGAGAGGACGAUCAGCCACACUGGGACUGAGACACGGCCCAGACUCCUACGGGAGGCAGCAGUGGGGAAUCUUGCGCAAUGGGCGAAAGCCUGACGCAGCGACGCCGCGUGGGGGACGAAGCCCUUCGGGGUGUAAACCACUGUCAGAGGAUAGAAAGUUCUGAUCAUCCUCAGAGGAAGGCACGGCUAACUCUGUGCCAGCAGCCGC